UACGUAGGGGGCAAGCGUUGUCCGGAUUUAUUGGGCGUAAAGAGCGUGUAGGCGGUUAGGUAGGUCCGUUGUGAAAACUCGAGGCUCAACCUCGAGACGCCGAUGGAAACCAUCUGACUAGAGUCCGGAAGAGGAGAGUGGAAUUCCUGGUGUAGCGGUGAAAUGCGCAGAUAUCAGGAGGAACACCAGUGGCGAAGGCGGCCGGCUGGGGGUGACCUGACGCUGAGGCGCGAAAGCGUGGGGAGCGAACCGG
Molecule: ribosomal RNA, 253 nt
Filed under: uncultured bacterium
Lineage: Bacteria
Description: partial 16S ribosomal RNA
Rfam family: Bacterial small subunit ribosomal RNA
Source: RNAcentral